Molecule: ribosomal RNA, 465 nt
Filed under: uncultured bacterium
Lineage: Bacteria
Description: partial 16S ribosomal RNA
Rfam family: Bacterial small subunit ribosomal RNA
Source: RNAcentral
GACGAACGCUGGCGGCGUGCUUAACACAUGCAAGUCGAACGGAAAGGCCCCUUUGGGGGUACUCGAGUGGCGAACGGGUGAGUAACACGUGAGUAACCUGCCCUUGACUUCGGGAUAACUUCAGGAAACUGGGGCUAAUACCGGAUAGGAAUCCUUGCUGCAUGGUGGGGGUUGGAAAGCUUCGGCGGUUUUGGAUGGACUCGCGGCUUAUCAGCUUGUUGGUGGGGUAGUGGCUUACCAAGGCUUUGACGGGUAGCCGGCCUGAGAGGGCGACCGGCCACAUUGGGACUGAGAUACGGCCCAGACUCCUACGGGAGGCAGCAGUGGGGAAUAUUGCACAAUGGGCGGAGGCCUGAUGCAGCAACGCCGCGUGCGGGAUGACGGCCUUCGGGUCGUAAACCGCUUUCAGCAGGGGCGAAGCUUGUGGUGACGGUACCUGCAGAAGAAGCACCGGCUAACUACGUG